AACCUUUACUAUAGCUUGACACUGAACAUUGAGCCUUGAUGUGUAGGAUAGGUGGGAGGCUUUGAAGCGUGGACGCCAGUCUGCGUGGAGCCGACCUUGAAAUACCACCCUUUAAUGUUUGAUGUUCUAACGUGGACCCGUAAUCCGGGUUGCGGACAGUGUCUGGUGGGUAGUUUGACUGGGGCGGUCUCCUCCUAAAGAGUAACGGAGGAGCACGAAGGUUGGCUAAUCCUGGUCGGACAUCAGGAGGUUAGUGCAAUGGCAUAAGCCAGCUUGACUGCGAGCGUGACGGCGCGAGCAGGUGCGAAAGCAGGUCAUAGUGAUCCGGUGGUUCUGAAUGGAAGGGCCAUCGCUCAACGGAUAAAAGGUACUCCGGGGAUAACAGGCUGAUACCGCCCAAGAGUUCAUAUCGACGGCGGUGUUUGGCACCUCGAUGUCGGCUCAUCACAUCCUGGGGCUGAAGUAGGUCCCAAGGGUAUGGCUGUUCGCCAUUUAAAGUGGUACGCGAGCUGGGUUUAGAACGUCGUGAGACAGUUCGGUCCCUAUCUGCCGUGGGCGCUGGAAGACUGAGGGGGGC
Molecule: ribosomal RNA, 577 nt
Filed under: Salmonella enterica
Lineage: Bacteria; Pseudomonadati; Pseudomonadota; Gammaproteobacteria; Enterobacterales; Enterobacteriaceae
Description: partial 23S ribosomal RNA
Rfam family: Bacterial large subunit ribosomal RNA
Source: RNAcentral